GCGACUCCUAUAAAAACUAAAACUCGUAUAGUUACAUGCUACACAAGAGAGUUUUGUUUUUUUGUAAAUCAAUCCUCAGUUAAAAUGGCGCAAUUGGUUAAUAUUUUCGUUGUGUUUAGUUUAUGUUUCGUCUUAAUACAGGGUUUUAAAGUGAAUGAAAGAUCAGGUGAUCAACAGGUUUCCGCCAAUGCUGCACCGCCACCAGUUCACAGUGCUGAUGUUGGUGAAAGUAAAGGCUGCAAUGCGUUUGGGGACAAGUGUAGCUGGUGGGCUGGAUGCUGUGAGGGUAUGAAGUGUGAUGGUUUCUUUAAUGGUGUCUGCUGGUACGAUUGGAAAAAAUAAAGAAACCAAAAAAACAUUAUAACAAACAUUUCUGUCCCCUAUUAUUCAUGUUAUAUCUUUGAAUACGCACCUUCGGCUAAAUAAUAAAUGCUUAUGGCGGUUUUCGCCAAUUCUAA
Long non-coding RNA from Patella vulgata (common limpet), 458 nucleotides. RefSeq lists it as uncharacterized. The transcript is spliced from 2 exons. NCBI's taxonomy places the organism in Eukaryota, Metazoa, Mollusca, Gastropoda, Patellidae. The record is from RefSeq and is a predicted model, not a curated record.